Molecule: transfer RNA, 73 nt
Filed under: Bos taurus (domestic cattle)
Lineage: Eukaryota; Metazoa; Chordata; Mammalia; Artiodactyla; Bovidae
Also listed under: 2 other names
Rfam family: tRNA
About the family: Transfer RNA (tRNA) molecules are approximately 80 nucleotides in length. Their secondary structure includes four short double-helical elements and three loops (D, anti-codon, and T loops). Further hydrogen bonds mediate the characteristic L-shaped molecular structure. tRNAs have two regions of fundamental functional importance: the anti-codon, which is responsible for specific mRNA codon recognition, and the 3' end, to which the tRNAs corresponding amino acid is attached (by aminoacyl-tRNA synthetases). tRNAs cope with the degeneracy of the genetic code in two manners: having more than one tRNA (with a specific anti-codon) for a particular amino acid; and 'wobble' base-pairing, i.e. permitting non-standard base-pairing at the 3rd anti-codon position.
Source: Rfam by way of RNAcentral
UCCCUGGUGAUCCAGUGGUUAAGACUUCACACUUCCAAUGCAGGGAAUCCAGGUUCAAUUCCUGGCUGGGGAG